GUGACCGCAUGGUCUGCGUUUGGAAAGAUUUUUCGGUUGGGGAGGGGCUCGCGGCCUAUCAGCUUGUUGGUGAGGUAAUGGCUCACCAAGGCGUCGACGGGUAGCCGGCCUGAGAGGGUGACCGGCCACACUGGGACUGAGACACGGCCCAGACUCCUACGGGAGGCAGCAGUGGGGAAUAUUGCACAAUGGGCGGAAGCCUGAUGCAGCAACGCCGCGUGAGGGAUGACGGCCUUCGGGUUGUAAACCUCUUUUAGCAGGGAAGAAGCGAAAGUGACGGUACCUGCAGAAAAAGCGCCGGCUAACUACGUGCCAGCAGCCGCGGUAAUACGUAGGGCGCAAGCGUUAUCCGGAAUUAUUGGGCGUAAAGAGCUCGUAGGCGGUUUGUCGCGUCUGCUGUGAAAUCCCGAGGCUCAACCUCGGGCCUGCAGUGGGUACGGGCAGACUAGAGUGCGGUAGGGGAGAUUGGAAUUCCUGGUGUAGCGGUGGAAUGCGCAGAUAUCAGGAGGAACACCGAUGGCGAAGGCAGAUCUCUGGGCCGUAACUGACGCUGAGGAGCGAAAGGGUGGGGAGCAAACAGGCUUAGAUACCCUGGUAGUCCACCCCGUAAACGUUGGGAACUAGUUGUGGGGUCCAUUCCACGGAUUCCGUGACGCAGCUAACGCAUUAAGUUCCCCGCCUGGGGAGUACGGCCGCAAGGCUAAAACUCAAAGGAAUUGACGGGGACCCGCACAAGCGGCGGAGCAUGCGGAUUAAUUCGAUGCAACGCGAAGAACCUUACCAAGGCUUGACAUAUACGAGAACGGGCCAGAAAUGGUCAACUCUUUGGACACUCGUAAACAGGUGGUGCAUGGUUGUCGUCAGCUCGUGUCGUGAGAUGUUGGGUUAAGUCCCGCAACGAGCGCAACCCUCGUUCUAUGUUGCCAGCACGUAAUGGUGGGAACUCAUGGGAUACUGCCGGGGUCAACUCGGAGGAAGGUGGGGAUGACGUCAAAUCAUCAUGCCCCUUAUGUCUUGGGCUUCACGCAUGCUACAAUGGCCGGUACAAAGGGCUGCAAUACCGUGAGGUGGAGCGAAUCCCAAAAAGCCGGUCCCAGUUCGGAUUGAGGUCUGCAACUCGACCUCAUGAAGUCGGAGUCGCUAGUAAUCGCAGAUCAGCAACGCUGCGGUGAAUACGUUCCCGGGUCUUGUACACACCGCCCGUCAAGUCAUGAAAGUCGGUAACACCUGAAGCCGGUGGCCUAACCCUUGUGGAGGGAGCCGUCGAAGGUG
This 1272-nucleotide ribosomal RNA is filed under the name Microbacterium paraoxydans. RNAcentral's name for it is "bacterial SSU rRNA". It matches the Rfam family "Bacterial small subunit ribosomal RNA", at positions 183 to 1464 of the family's 1533-position model. The record is from RNAcentral. Lineage: Bacteria; Bacillati; Actinomycetota; Actinomycetes; Micrococcales; Microbacteriaceae.